Molecule: ribosomal RNA, 2318 nt
Filed under: Campylobacter jejuni
Lineage: Bacteria; Pseudomonadati; Campylobacterota; Epsilonproteobacteria; Campylobacterales; Campylobacteraceae
Description: bacterial LSU rRNA
Rfam family: Bacterial large subunit ribosomal RNA
Source: RNAcentral
AAAAAAGGUAAGCUACUAAGAGCGAAUGGUGGAUGCCUUGACUGGUAAAGGCGAUGAAGGACGUACUAGACUGCGAUAAGCUACGGGGAGCUGUCAAGAAGCUUUGAUCCGUAGAUUUCCGAAUGGGGCAACCCAAUGUAUAGAGAUAUACAUUACCUAUAUAGGAGCGAACGAGGGGAAUUGAAACAUCUUAGUACCCUCAGGAAAAGAAAUCAAUAGAGAUUGCGUCAGUAGCGGCGAGCGAAAGCGCAAGAGGGCAAACCCAGUGCUUGCACUGGGGGUUGUAGGACUGCAAUGUGCAAGAGCUGAGUUUAGCAGAACAUUCUGGAAAGUAUAGCCAUAGAGGGUGAUAGUCCCGUAUGCGAAAAACAAAGCUUAGCUAGCAGUAUCCUGAGUAGGGCGGGACACGAGGAAUCCUGUCUGAAUCCGGGUCGACCACGAUCCAACCCUAAAUACUAAUACCAGAUCGAUAGUGCACAAGUACCGUGAGGGAAAGGUGAAAAGAACUGAGGUGAUCAGAGUGAAAUAGAACCUGAAACCAUUUGCUUACAAUCAUUCAGAGCACUAUGUAGCAAUACAGUGUGAUGGACUGCCUUUUGCAUAAUGAGCCUGCGAGUUGUGGUGUCUGGCAAGGUUAAGCAAACGCGAAGCCGUAGCGAAAGCGAGUCUGAAUAGGGCGCUUAGUCAGAUGCUGCAGACCCGAAACGAAGUGAUCUAUCCAUGAGCAAGUUGAAGCUAGUGUAAGAACUAGUGGAGGACUGAACCCAUAGGCGUUGAAAAGCCCCGGGAUGACUUGUGGAUAGGGGUGAAAGGCCAAUCAAACUUCGUGAUAGCUGGUUCUCUCCGAAAUAUAUUUAGGUAUAGCGUUGUGUCGUAAUAUAAGGGGGUAGAGCACUGAAUGGGCUAGGGCAUACACCAAUGUACCAAACCCUAUCAAACUCCGAAUACCUUAUAUGUAAUCACAGCAGUCAGGCGGCGAGUGAUAAAAUCCGUCGUCAAGAGGGAAACAACCCAGACUACCAGCUAAGGUCCCUAAAUCUUACUUAAGUGGAAAACGAUGUGAAGUUACUUAAACAACCAGGAGGUUGGCUUAGAAGCAGCCAUCCUUUAAAGAAAGCGUAAUAGCUCACUGGUCUAGUGAUUUUGCGCGGAAAAUAUAACGGGGCUAAAGUAAGUACCGAAGCUGUAGACUUGCGCACAACUUAGAUUAUUUAAGUUUAGAAUAUGAGAAACUAAGUUAUGUUUAGUUAUAUUUUUACUGAUUUUUAUAGAGUAAAGAUAGAAAUAAAACUUAGUAAAAUCAGUAAAAAUAUUCUUAGGCUAAAGUUAAGUAGUUUAAGUUGUGUGCAAGUGGUAGGAGAGCGUUCUAUUUGCGUCGAAGGUAUACCGGUAAGGAGUGCUGGAGCGAAUAGAAGUGAGCAUGCAGGCAUGAGUAGCGAUAAUUAAUGUGAGAAUCAUUAACGCCGUAAACCCAAGGUUUCCUACGCGAUGCUCGUCAUCGUAGGGUUAGUCGGGUCCUAAGUCGAGUCCGAAAGGGGUAGACGAUGGCAAAUUGGUUAAUAUUCCAAUACCAACAUUAGUGUGCGAUGGAAGGACGCUUAGGGCUAAGGGGGCUAGCGGAUGGAAGUGCUAGUCUAAGGUCGUAGGAGGUUAUACAGGCAAAUCCGUAUAACAAUACUCCGAGAACUGAAAGGCUUUUUGAAGUCUUCGGAUGGAUAGAAGAACCCCUGAUGCCGUCGAGCCAAGAAAAGUUUCUAAGUUUAGCUAAUGUUGCCCGUACCGUAAACCGACACAGGUGGGUGGGAUGAGUAUUCUAAGGCGCGUGGAAGAACUCUCUUUAAGGAACUCUGCAAAAUAGCACCGUAUCUUCGGUAUAAGGUGUGGUUAGCUUUGUAUUAGGAUUUACUCCGAAAGCAAGGAAACUUACAACAAAGAGUCCCUCCCGACUGUUUACCAAAAACACAGCACUCUGCUAACUCGUAAGAGGAUGUAUAGGGUGUGACGCCUGCCCGGUGCUCGAAGGUUAAUUGAUGGGGUUAGCAUUAGCGAAGCUCUUGAUCGAAGCCCGAGUAAACGGCGGCCGUAACUAUAACGGUCCUAAGGUAGCGAAAUUCCUUGUCGGUUAAAUACCGACCUGCAUGAAUGGCGUAACGAGAUGGGAGCUGUCUCAAAGAGGGAUCCAGUGAAAUUGUAGUGGAGGUGAAAAUUCCUCCUACCCGCGGCAAGACGGAAAGACCCCGUGGACCUUUACUACAGCUUGACACUGCUACUUGGAUAAGAAUGUGCAGGAUAGGUGGGAGGCUUUGAGUAUAUGACGC